CCGGUAAGGUGCUCUAUCGCUGUUCCGCGUAAGCGGGAGAGAGGAAAGUCCGGGCAAGGCAGGGCGCCACGCUACCUAACGGGUAGAUGCUCGCAAGGGUAUGCAAUGCGUAACAGAAAAUAACCGUCGCGCUUAGGUGCGAUAAGGGUGAAAAGGUGGGGUAAGAGCCUACCGCGGCGGUGGCAACACGCGCCGGCAGUACGCACCGUGGCUUGCAAGACCAUGUACACCAGCGCUAUAGGGCUGCUCGUCCGAUGCUGGGGGGUAGGUUGCUUGAGCGCUGCGGCGACGCAGCGCCUAGAUAAAUGAUAGGGCUUGACAGAACCCGGCUUAUAGCCUUACCGGUUUU
This 349-nucleotide RNase P RNA is filed under the name Prevotellaceae bacterium. Its description in RNAcentral is "RNase P RNA component class A". It matches the Rfam family "Bacterial RNase P class A". From Rfam's summary of the family: Ribonuclease P (RNase P) is a ubiquitous endoribonuclease, found in archaea, bacteria and eukarya as well as chloroplasts and mitochondria. Its best characterised activity is the generation of mature 5'-ends of tRNAs by cleaving the 5'-leader elements of precursor-tRNAs. The record is from RNAcentral. Lineage: Bacteria; Pseudomonadati; Bacteroidota; Bacteroidia; Bacteroidales; Prevotellaceae.